UGCGUAACACGUGUGCAACCUACCUUUAUCAGGGGAAUAGCCUUUCGAAAGGAAGAUUAAUACCCCAUAAUAUAUUGAAUGGCAUCAUUUAAUAUUGAAAACUCCGGUGGAUAGAGAUGGGCACGCGCAAGAUUAGAUAGUUGGUGAGGUAACGGCUCACCAAGUCAAUGAUCUUUAGGGGUCCUGAGAGGGAGAUCCCCCACACUUGGUACUGAGACACGGACCAGACUCCUACGGGAGGCAGCAGUGAGGAAUAUUGGACAAUGGGUGAGAGCCUGAUCCAGCCAUCCCGCGUGAAGGAUGACGGUCCUAUGGAUUGUAAACUUCUUUUGUAUAGGGAUAAACCUACUCUCGUGAGAGUAGCUGAAGGUACUAUACGAAUAAGCACCGGCUAACUCCGUGCCAGCAGCCGCGGUAAUACGGAGGGUGCAAGCGUUAUCCGGAUUUAUUGGGUUUAAAGGGUCCGUAGGCGGACCGAUAAGUCAGUGGUGAAAUCUCAUAGCUUAACUAUGAAACUGCCGUUGAUACUGUCGGUCUUGAGUAAAUUUGAAGUGGCUGGAAUAAGUAGUGUAGCGGUGAAAUGCAUAGAUAUUACUUAGAACACCAAUUGCGAAGGCAGGUCACUAAGAUUUAACUGACGCUGAGGGACGAAAGCGUGGGGAGCGAACAGGAUUAGAUACCCUGGUAGUCCACGCCGUAAACGAUGCUAACUCGUUUUUGGGGCGCAAGCUUCAGAGACCAAGCGAAAGUGAUAAGUUAGCCACCUGGGGAGUACGUCCGCAAGGAUGAAACUCAAAGGAAUUGACGGGGGCCCGCACAAGCGGUGGAUUAUGUGGUUUAAUUCGAUGAUACGCGAGGAACCUUACCAAGACUUAAAUGGGAAAUGACAGGCUUAGAAAUAGGCUUUUCUUCGGACAUUUUCCAAGGUGCUGCAUGGUUGUCGUCAGCUCGUGCCGUGAGGUGUUAGGUUAAGUCCUGCAACGAGCGCAACCCCUGUCACUAGUUGCUAACAUUUAGUUGAGGACUCUAGUGAGACUGCCUACGCAAGUAGAGAGGAAGGUGGGGAUGACGUCAAAUCAUCACGGCCCUUACGUCUUGGGCCACACACGUAAUACAAUGGCCGGUACAGAGGGCAGCUACCUAGCGAUAGGAUGCAAAUCUCGAAAGCCGGUCUCAGUUCGGAUUGGAGUCUGCAACUCGACUCUAUGAAG
This 1211-nucleotide ribosomal RNA is filed under the name Chryseobacterium sp. Its description in RNAcentral is "bacterial SSU rRNA". It matches the Rfam family "Bacterial small subunit ribosomal RNA", at positions 107 to 1325 of the family's 1533-position model. The record is from RNAcentral. Lineage: Bacteria; Pseudomonadati; Bacteroidota; Flavobacteriia; Flavobacteriales; Weeksellaceae.